Molecule: long non-coding RNA, 2149 nt
Filed under: Nicotiana benthamiana
Lineage: Eukaryota; Viridiplantae; Streptophyta; Magnoliopsida; Solanales; Solanaceae
Description: long non-coding RNA (NBEN_LNC005766)
Source: RNAcentral
CUCUUUCAUCUCUACUGUUCAUCAUCUUCUCCACUUCUUUUCUUCAAUCCGAUGAGUUAAACUGUUAACAUGGUAUCAGAGCGGGUAUAUUCCGGUUCUACUCAUCACGAGCUUUCGACCGAUGUUACCCUCACCGGCUUUCAUUCAAGUUUCUGUUGAUUCACAAAAUUAGGGUUUUCGAUUCGGUUAGUUUUUCGUCAAAAUUGCUUGUAUUUUUUGUUGUUAAAAUUGUUGCAUGUUGUGUAAACAUCAGAGGCUGUAAUUUUUGUUUGUUUCUGGUUGGUUUCUGGUCGAUUCAUGUGUUAGCCAUCUGGUAUAGUUACGAUCUAUUGUUUGUUUGUGGUUAAAUGACAUAAGCAGUUAAAAAUGGUGGAUGUAGUAGAUGAUUCUCCUUCUGUUCCUACUAGCUUUGUCCCUAGUCCCUCGAAUCCCCUAUUUCUCAUGUCGUCUGAUGUUCCUGGUAUUUUUAGUUUUUCGUCAAAUUACUUGUAUUUUGUUGUUAAAAUUAUUGCAUGUUGUGUAAACAUCAGAGGCUGUAAUUUUUGUUUGUUUCUGGUUGGUUUCUGAUCGAUUCAUGUGUUAGCCAUCUGGUAUAGUCACGAUCUAUUGUUUGUUUGUGGUUAAAUGACGUAAGCAGUUAAAAAUGGUGGAUGUAGUAGAUGAUUCUCCUUCUGUUCCUACCAGCUUUGUACCUAGUCCUUCGAAUCCCCUAUUUCUCAUGUCGUCUGAUGUUCCUGGUAUUUCCUUGGUUACCAAUCCUUUCUCAGGAGUUGGUUUUGGGGGUUGGAGAAGAAAUGUGAUAGUAUCUUUGUCCGCUAGGAACAAAAUAGGUUUUAUAGAUGGCUCAAUGCCUAAACCUUCUGAAGAUUCCCCACAGUUUAGACAGUGGGAUAGGUGUAACAAUAUGGUCAUUUCAUGGCUCACGAAUUCCCUCACUCCUGAGAUAGCAGAGAGUGUCCAAUACUCUGACACUGCUCAUAGUAUCUGGGUCCAACUUAAUAAUAGAUAUGGGUCAGUUGAUGGUACUAAAAUUUUCGAAGUGAAACAACAGCUUGCUUCCACCACUCAGGGCUCUUUAGACAUAGCCUCUUAUUUCAAUAAAUUGAAGAAGUUAUGGGAUGAAUUGACAUUUAUGAGAACCUCAAGGAGUGUUGUAUCUGGUUGUGGUGCUACAUGUAGUGCUAGGAUUGAAAUUCAGAAAGAGGAUGAUGAAAAUAAAUUGCAUCAGUUCCUUAUGGGGUUGAAUGACAUAUACAUAGGAGUUAGGAGUAAUAUCCUUAUGAUGCAACCACCACCUUCCUUGGACAGUGCUUACAACAUACUUCUUCAGGAUGAAAGGCAAAGACAAGUCAUUCAUUCACCUUCCCAAUUCCACACUGAGUCCAGUGCUUUUAGCACUCAGUUUAUGAAAAAGCCUUAUGGAACUCACUCAAAUCCCAGACAAUUUACUCAAAAAGCCAGAUUUGAUACAAACAAAUCAGACCUAGUUUGUAGAUAUUGCAAGAAGCCAGGUCAUUUAAUUGAAAAAUGCUACAAGUUGCAUGGGUUCCCUCCAGACUUCAAAUUCACCAGGGAUAAGAGAGCUGCUGCUAGUGUUGAUGUACAAAAAGGUGUGGUUUCUGUUGCAAAUGCUGAUACAUCAAAUGUGGGUGAGGGUGUGCAAAAUUCUACCACUUCAGACUCUGGUAUUCCUGGGUUGACCAAGGAGCAAUAUUCACAGCUUUUGCUCCUUCUCCAACAAACUCAACUGUCUGAAUCUCAGCAUCAAUCCAAUGUGAUGGGGUCUGCAAACUUUGCUGGUACACUUUCUUCCUCUAUUCAACCUUUAAAAGAUGUAUCUUAUGGUGCUUGCAUGUUAACUAGAGUUAGUGCAUGUAUUUGGAUCAUUGAUUCUGGUGCCACUGACCAUAUGACUUCAAAUAAAUCCCUUCUCUUUGACAUCAAACCCCUAGUUGUCCCAUACUUAGUUACACUUCCUAAUGGUUAUAAGGUUAAAGUAACAUGUACUGGAUCUCUUAAAUUCCUUUGUUUCACUUUGCAUCAUGUGCUAUACAUUCCCAGUUUUCAAUACAAUCUGAUCUCUGUUUCCAAGCUUGUUCAACAGCUGAAUUCUAUUGUCUCAUUUACUAAGUUUUCUUGUCUAAUANNN